ACUGAGCGAGAGAUCUGGGUCACCUCCCACCCGUGUUUAUUUACCUUAUUGCUUCGGCGGGCCCGCCUUCACUGGCCGCCGGGGGGCUCACGCCCCCGGGCCCGCGCCCGCCGAAGACACCCCGAACUCUGUCUGAAGAAUGAAGUCUGAGUGAAAAUAUAAAUUAUUUAAAACUUUCAACAACGGAUCUCUUGGUUCCGGCAUCGAUGAAGAACGCAGCGAAAUGCGAUACGUAAUGUGAAUUGCAAAUUCAGUGAAUCAUCGAGUCUUUGAACGCACAUUGCGCCCCCUGGUAUUCCGGGGGGCAUGCCUGUCCGAGCGUCAUUGCUGCCCUCAAGCCCGGCUUGUGUGUUGGGCCUCGUCCUCCGAUUCCGGGGGACGGGCCCGAAAGGCAGCGGCGGCACCGCGUCCGGUCCUCGAGCGUAUGGGGCUCUGUCACCCGCUCUGUAGGCCCGGCCGGCGCUUGCCGAUCAACCCAAAUUUUUAUCCAGGUUGACCUCGGAUCAGGUAGGGAUACCCGCUGAACUUAAGCAUAUCAA
RNAcentral lists this ribosomal RNA (539 nucleotides) under Penicillium paneum. Its description in RNAcentral is "eukaryotic LSU rRNA". The stretch from base 172 to 324 matches the Rfam family "5.8S ribosomal RNA". Lineage: Eukaryota; Fungi; Ascomycota; Eurotiomycetes; Eurotiales; Aspergillaceae. The record is from RNAcentral.